RNAcentral lists this ribosomal RNA (432 nucleotides) under uncultured bacterium. Its description in RNAcentral is "partial 16S ribosomal RNA". It matches the Rfam family "Bacterial small subunit ribosomal RNA", at positions 29 to 507 of the family's 1533-position model. The record is from RNAcentral.
AACGAACGCUGGCGGCAUGCCUAACACAUGCAAGUCGAACGAGACCUUCGGGUCUAGUGGCGCACGGGUGCGUAACGCGUGGGAACCUGCCCUUAGGUUCGGAAUAACUCCCCGAAAGGGGUGCUAAUACCGGAUAAUGUCUUCGGACCAAAGAUUUAUCGCUUUGGAUGGGCCCGCGUUGGAUUUGCUAGUUGGUAGGGUAAAAGCCUACCAAGGCGACGAUCCAUAGCUGGUCUGAGAGGAUGAUCAGCCACACUGGGACUGAGACACGGCCCAGACUCCUACGGGAGGCAGCAGUGGGGAAUAUUGGACAAUGGGCGAAAGCCUGAUCCAGCAAUGCCGCGUGAGUGAUGAAGGCCUUAGGGUUGUAAAGCUCUUUUACCCGGGAUGAUAAUGACAGUACCGGGAGAAUAAGCUCCGGCUAACUCCGUG